RNAcentral lists this ribosomal RNA (368 nucleotides) under uncultured organism. Its description in RNAcentral is "bacterial SSU rRNA". It matches the Rfam family "Bacterial small subunit ribosomal RNA", at positions 526 to 896 of the family's 1533-position model. The record is from RNAcentral.
CGGAGGAUCCAAGCGUUAUCCGGAAUCAUUGGGUUUAAAGGGUCCGUAGGCGGUUUUAUAAGUCAGUGGUGAAAUCCGGCAGCUCAACUGUCGAACUGCCAUUGAUACUGUAGGACUUGAAUUAUUGUGAAGUAACUAGAAUAUGUAGUGUAGCGGUGAAAUGCUUAGAUAUUACAUGGAAUACCCAUUGCGAAGGCAGGUUACUAACAAUACAUUGACGCUGAUGGACGAAAGCGUGGGGAGCGAACAGGAUUGGAUACCCUGGUAGUCCACGCCGUAAACGAUGGAUACUAGCUGUUUGGAAGCAAUUCUGAGUGGCUAAGCGAAAGUGAUAAGUAUCCCACCUGGGGAGUACGAACGCAAGUUUG